AUGAACAGAUGGUCCUGGGCAGCUCGAGCCCACCCCAGGGGCAGCGAUGCGGGGCCGCGGCCGCACGCCUUGGGGACAGGGACAUGCCCACGGGGGGACUCCUGUGCUCCCCUCCCGAGGGGCAGGAACCCUCUGGGACCCAUCACCCAUGGACUCCCCAUCCUAUGGGGUGAGCUGGGUGCUGCCAGGCACCUGGAGCAUCCCCCUGCCCUCCCCAGCCCUCGGUUGGAGGGAUCACAGAGCGGGAGGGCGCAGGGCUCAGCUGGUGCUGGGUCUCCCAGAGGGGUUCAGACUGGGAUGGGUGACGAUAAAACCAGGCUGCUAAUCCCCCUGUGGAUUACAUGGGACUGUGGCACGAGGCUUUGGAGCCGCCAAACACCCAGACCCUCCUGGAGGUACCCCAAAAAUCCCGGUCUACGUGCGGGAAGGUGCGCGGCACAUCCCCCUGGCACGCGGGGAGGAUGCACGGGGCCAAACGCUCCUCCCCGCGCCACGCUGCUGCCUUUCCCGCGGCCCUGGCACGGGAACGGGGCUCCUGGCCUCGGGGGGGGCCCGGCCCGGCCCAACCGGCUCCCAGCCCACACCCGUGAGAAGAGCCGGGGCCCGUCCUGCCUCUCAGGUGUGGCCCUGCGCCUCCGGGCUCCCGCUGCUGCCAGCCUGGAUGCGGCCGGGAGGAGGGAGCGGGAGGCGCUUGGCAGCCUCCAGGCUCGGAUGGGGGCGUCUGCAGCACCCCCAGCUCCUUCCCAAGGGGUCCCUUGGGAUUUUGGGUUUCUGCUGGGGGGCAGACCCCUUGGGAGGCUGUGGUUUGUGGCACCCCGAACGUGCUCGGUGAUGAGAGCAGGUCCCCAGGCAGGCGCAGCGCUUCGCCCCAGCCAGCCCGGGAGGCCGGCGACAGAAAUGGGUACAAACCCCAGGUGUUUGGGUUCCUCCGCCACCAGAACCCACGCCCUUCCCAACAAACAGCCAAACCCAGCCUCCCACGGCCAGCGGGCUCCCGGCCCUCUCACCGGGCUUGGCUGCAAGAGGGAAACGCGCAGCCACAGCCCCCAGCGGAGCCGAGCGCGGGGCUGGCGUGCCGGCCCUGGAGCUGCUCCAGCCCUUUCUUCCCCAGCCCGGCAAGCCCUAAAACCCACAGCUCGUCUCUGCAGAACAGGUUCGGCACAGCAGCAGCCGUGCCAGCUUCCCACGCAGCAGCACAGCCCAGCCUGCCCCGCACCCCCUGCCCCAAUAGCCCUUCUCUUUUUUUCGCCCUGCUCUCUUCCUGGAUCAAAGCUGCCUCCCCUCCCCGUAUUACAAACAUCAUUUGGCUCGGAGAUAAGAAGCUCUCCAGCAGCUCUUUAUUAA
This 1344-nucleotide long non-coding RNA is filed under the name Anser brachyrhynchus (Pink-footed goose). RNAcentral describes it as "lncRNA (ENSABRG00000004526.1)". Lineage: Eukaryota; Metazoa; Chordata; Aves; Anseriformes; Anatidae. The record is from RNAcentral.